This 226-nucleotide long non-coding RNA is filed under the name Lathyrus oleraceus (garden pea). Its description in RNAcentral is "Pisum sativum (pea) long non-coding RNA (PSAT_LNC018545)". Lineage: Eukaryota; Viridiplantae; Streptophyta; Magnoliopsida; Fabales; Fabaceae. The record is from RNAcentral.
UCACUUCCAACAGGGGUCUAUUCGUCAGUCAAAACGUUAAUCUUGAAGGAGCAAAAGUUUGUUCAUGAACUGUCAUGCUCGCUAGGCGAAGCCCACGCGUUUCGAAAAAAAAAACUAUAAAAAAAAAAUUAAUUAAUUAAUUAAAUAAAUAAAUAAAUAAAAUAUAAUAGAAAAAUCUUGGACUUGGACCUCUCUCAUUUGAGCCCACAAAGCCAUGAAAACCAGG